RNAcentral lists this ribosomal RNA (253 nucleotides) under uncultured prokaryote. RNAcentral's name for it is "partial 16S ribosomal RNA". It matches the Rfam family "Bacterial small subunit ribosomal RNA", at positions 525 to 777 of the family's 1533-position model. The record is from RNAcentral.
ACGAAGGGUGCAAGCGUUACUCGGAAUUACUGGGCGUAAAGCGUGCGUAGGUGGUUCGUUAAGUCCGAUGUGAAAGCCCUGGGCUCAACCUGGGAAUGGCAUUGGAUACUGGCGGGCUAGUGUGCGGUAGAGGGCAGUGGAAUUCCCGGUGUAGCAGUGAAAUGCGUAGAGAUCGGGAGGAACAUCAGUGGCGAAGGCGGCCAUCUGGGACAACACUGACGUUGAGGCACGAAAGCGUGGGGAGCAAACAGGA